UACGUAGGGUGCGAGCGUUAAUCGGAAUCACUGGGCGUAAAGCGUCUGUAGGUGGUUCAAUAAGUCAACUGUUAAAUCUUGAGGCUCAACUUCAAAAUCGCAGUCGAAACUAUUGGACUCGAGUAUAGUAGGGGUAAAGGGAAUUUCCAGUGGAGCGGUGAAAUGCGUAGAGAUUGGAAAGAACACCAAUGGCGAAAGCACUUUACUGGGCUAUUACUGACACUGAGAGACGAAAGCUAGGGUAGCAAAUGGG
This 253-nucleotide ribosomal RNA is filed under the name uncultured bacterium. Its description in RNAcentral is "partial 16S ribosomal RNA". It matches the Rfam family "Bacterial small subunit ribosomal RNA", at positions 524 to 776 of the family's 1533-position model. The record is from RNAcentral.